Molecule: ribosomal RNA, 1818 nt
Filed under: metagenome
Description: bacterial LSU rRNA
Rfam family: Bacterial large subunit ribosomal RNA
Source: RNAcentral
UCAAGUAAUUAAGUGCUAAAGGCGGAUGCCUUGGCAUCUAGAGGCGAUGAAGGACGUUGUAACUUGCGAUAAGCCCCGGUGAGCCAGUACACAGGCUACGACCCGAGGAUUUCCGAAUGGGGAAACCCGACAUUUAUGUCACCACUUUUGUGGAGCAAACCCGGAGAACUGAAACAUCUUAGUACCCGGAGGAAAAGAAAUCAAUCGAGAUUCCGUUAGUAGUGGCGAGCGAAAGCGGAACAGCCCUUAAGCUAUAUUUUGUCUAGUAGAAUGUUAUGGAAAGAACAGCCAUAGUAGGUGAUAGCCCUGUAUACGAAAGACUUAAUAUAGUGAAAUCGAGUAGGUCGGAACACGUGAAAUUUUGACUGAAUAUGGGAGGACCAUCUUCCAAGGCUAAAUACUCCUAGAUGACCGAUAGUGAACAAGUACCGUGAGGGAAAGGUGAAAAGUCCCCCUGUUAGGGGAGUGAAAUAGUACCUGAAAUCUUUAGCAUACAAUCAGUCAGAGCCCUUCGGGGUGAUGGCGUACCUUUUGUAUAAUGGGUCAGCGACUUAAUUUCAGUAGCAAGCUUAACGUUAGGUAGGCGUAGGGAAACCGAGUCUUAAAUGGGCGAAUUAGUUGCUGGAAUUAGACCCGAAACCAAGCGAUCUAUCCAUGGUCAGGUUGAAGUGUGAGUAACAUCACAUGGAGGACCGAACCCACUUAUGUUGAAAAAUGAGGGGAUGAACUGUGGAUAGGGGUGAAAGGCCAAUCAAGCUUGGAGAUAGCUGGUUCUCUCCGAAAACUAUUUAGGUAGUGCCUCUUGUAUUACCAAUGGGGGUAGAGCACUGUUUCGGCUAGGGGGUCAUCCCGACUUACCAAACCGAUGCAAACUCCGAAUACCAUUGAGUAUUAGCAAGGGAGACAGACUGCGGGUGAUAACGUCCGUGGUCGAAAGGGAAACAACCCAGACCAACAGCUAAGGUCCCAAAUUAUGAUUAAGUGGAAAACGAUGUGAAUAGACUUAUACAGCUAGGAGGUUGGCUUAGAAGCAGCCAUCCUUUAAAGAAAGCGUAAUAGCUCACUAGUCUAGUUUGUCUGCGCGGAAGAUUUANCGGGGCUAAAUCAUAAACCGAAGCUUUGGAUCAUCUUCGGAUGAUGGUAGGAGAGCGUUCUGUAAGCCUGUGAAGGUGAACCGAGAGGUUUGCUGGAGGUAUCAGAAGUGCGAAUGCUGACAUGAGUAACGAAUAAGGAGGUGAAAAACCUCCUCGCCGGAAGACUAAGGAUUCCUGUCCAACGCUUUUCGUGGCAGGGUUAGUCGGCCCCUAAGGCGUACCCGAAAGGGGAAGUCGAUGGGAAACAGGUUAAUAUUCCUGUACCAGUUGGAAGUGACGGAUCUGGUAAAUUGUAUGCACUUAUUGGAUUGUGCAUGCAGUGAACAGGUUCCAAGAAAUAGCUCCAACAUAGACCGUACCAUAAACCGACACAGGUGGUCAGGUAGAGAAUACCGAGGCGGAUGAGAUAACUCUGGUGAAGGAACUAGGCAAAAUGUAACCGUAACUUCGGGAGAAGGUUAGCCAAUUUUAAGGCAACUUUAAAUUGGUCGAAGAUACCAGGUGGCUGCGACUGUUUACUAAAAACACAGCACUCUGCUAACACGAAAGUGGACGUAUAGGGUGUGACGCCUGCCCGGUGCCGGAAGGUUAAAUGAUGGGGUUAGCUUCGGCGAAGCUCUUGAUUGAAGCCCCGGUAAACGGCGGCCGUAACAAUAACGGUCCUAAGGUAGCGAAAUUCCUUGUCGGGUAAGUUCCGACCUGCACGAAUGGCGUAACGAUGGCC